CAGACUUGCCUGCAGUCCACUGUUUGAAGCUUCGCUGUGUUCUCGGGUGGGAUGCAUCCUCAUCUUCAGUUCGGGGCCCAGGUGACCUUGGGGACGACCAUUAGGACCAGGUAGCUUGCUCUGGGCCCUAGCACGCAGAGCCCAGGAGUCCCAAAGCCUCAGAACCUAACUGAUAUCAGGCACUCUGCUCCACUAGGAAGCGGAGCUUUGUUCAUGGUGAGGACCUUUAGUUUUUGCCUGAGUUGUGAGAUUUUACAUCUCUGCACUUGGGCAUAACGAAUAAAUAAUUAUCACAGACCUGGAUUCUCUAGUAAACCUCCAGCUCAAUAUUACCAUCAAUGAAGUAUCACAGGACAUUCUUCGGGGGCCUAGAAGAUCUUCUGUUCACUGACUCUGAAUCAAAACUCCACUCUGGGGGCUUAGCCCAUGAACAGCUCUUAGAACCCUUCCUGCCCCUCCCAAGCCCUUCUGUUAGCUCCGAAGUUCACUUGGGUUUGUGGAAUCUGUA
RNAcentral lists this long non-coding RNA (508 nucleotides) under Mus pahari (shrew mouse). RNAcentral's name for it is "lncRNA (MGP_PahariEiJ_G0003431.1)". The record is from RNAcentral. Lineage: Eukaryota; Metazoa; Chordata; Mammalia; Rodentia; Muridae.